Aedes aegypti (yellow fever mosquito) is the source of this 783-nucleotide long non-coding RNA. RefSeq lists it as uncharacterized. NCBI's taxonomy places the organism in Eukaryota, Metazoa, Arthropoda, Insecta, Diptera, Culicidae. The record is from RefSeq and is a predicted model, not a curated record. The transcript is spliced from 2 exons.
CUUUGCUUUGUAGCCGCGGACUCUCCACUCGGCUAAGGACGGCCCCAGUUUUUGUUACAUAUAAGGUUACUCAAAUGAUGUAUGUGUUUCAUAUAUUGUCUUUCGUCCAGAUCAAAUAAAUCCCUGAAGAAGACAAAAAUUGGGAUCGAAUGUUAUAGUUAAAAAAACGUGAGCAAGUCAAAAACUAUUUUCUAUGCGAAAAUUUGGCUCUUCUUCAUGUUGUUCAGGCCUGAAUUCAUCUGUAAUAUUCAUAGUUCCAAUAUUUGACAACUCGUUAACAAAAUUUGAUUACUGCACCAUUAGCCUCGAUCAGAGUCUACCACCGACUUUGUUUGAAUUUGCAACAAAAUAAACCUAUUACCUAACCGUUCCAACUAUCAUUUUCAUCCCACUGCAAUAAAAGAUAACCCUGCCGAUAAGAUUGCGCCUCCCACUCAGUCAAAGGGUGCUUCCGAGACGAGUCUCAGCGUGUCGCAAUUUGUUUACCUACACCCUCAGCUGCAACAAUCAUCGCCUAUAUAGCUAUGGUUGCCCUCUUUCAAGGUGAGAGUCGUAUGCAUACGUCGCCUCGUGGGACCACCCUUGGGCUUGUUCCCUACCGGGAAAGGACUCUGCAGUGUACCGUUUUUCAACAAACGACGCAGAUUCUCCUACUGCUCGAUGAUGGCCUACCGCAAUUGCUAGUACUCGGCGAGUGCACUAUGGGUCGGAAGUGAAAAACAUUCGUGACAAAAUUACAAGGUUUUAAAUAAAGAGCUUCAAGUGUUUCCAUUUUUGCAAGUA